This 30-nucleotide ribosomal RNA is filed under the name Mycosphaerella grandis. Its description in RNAcentral is "partial 18S ribosomal RNA". Lineage: Eukaryota; Fungi; Ascomycota; Dothideomycetes; Mycosphaerellales; Mycosphaerellaceae. The record is from RNAcentral.
CCGUAGGUGGAAACUGCGGAGGGAUCAUUA